This 459-nucleotide ribosomal RNA is filed under the name uncultured bacterium. Its description in RNAcentral is "bacterial SSU rRNA". It matches the Rfam family "Bacterial small subunit ribosomal RNA", at positions 343 to 793 of the family's 1533-position model. The record is from RNAcentral.
GGGAGGCAGCAGUGGGGAAUCUUGCGCAAUGGGCGAAAGCCUGACGCAGCAACGCCGCGUGUGUGAUGAAGGUCUUCGGAUCGUAAAGCACUGUCGGGAGGGACGAAUAAGUCCGGGGCGAAUAUCCCCGGGCGAUGACGGUACCUCCAAAGGAAGCACCGGCUAACUCUGUGCCAGCAGCCGCGGUAAUACAGAGGGUGCAAGCGUUGUUCGGAAUUAUUGGGCGUAAAGCGCGUGUAGGCGGCCUGGCAAGUUGGGUGUGAAAGCCCUCGGCUUAACCGAGGAAGUGCGCCCAAAACUACUAGGCUUGAGUACCGGAGAGGAUGGUGGAAUUCCCGGUGUAGAGGUGAAAUUCGUAGAUAUCGGGAGGAACACCAGUGGCGAAGGCGACCAUCUGGACGGAUACUGACGCUGAGACGCGAAAGCGUGGGGAGCAAACAGGAUUAGAUACCCGCGUAU